This 254-nucleotide ribosomal RNA is filed under the name uncultured bacterium. RNAcentral's name for it is "partial 16S ribosomal RNA". It matches the Rfam family "Bacterial small subunit ribosomal RNA", at positions 524 to 776 of the family's 1533-position model. The record is from RNAcentral.
UACGUAGGGGGCGAGCGUUGUCCGGAUUUAUUGGGCGUAAAGAGCUCGUAGGCGGUUUGGUAAGUUGGAUGUGAAAUCUCCAGGUUCAACUUGGAGGGGUCAUUCGAUACUGCCAUGACUAGAGUUCGGUAGGGGAGUGUGGAAUUCCUGGUGGAGCGGUGAAAUGCGCAGAUAUCAGGAGGAACACCCGUAGCGAAGGCGGCACUCUGGGCCGGAACUGACGCUGAGGAGCGAAAGCGUGGGGAGCGAACAGG